AUACGUAGGGUGCAAGCGUUGAUCGGAAUUACUGGGCGUAAAGCGUGCGCAGGCGGUUUUGUAAGACAGUGGUGAAAUCCCCGGGCUCAACCUGGGAACUGCCGUUGUGACUGCAAGGCUGGAGUGCGGCAGAGGGGGAUGGAAUUCCGCGUGUAGCAGUGAAAUGCGUAGAUAUGCGGAGGAACACCGAUGGCGAAGGCAAUCCCCUGGGCCUGCACUGACGCUCAUGCACGAAAGCGUGGGGAGCAAACAGGAUUAGAUACCCUGGUAGUCCACGCCCUAAACGAUGUCAACUGGUUGUUGGGGAUUUAUUUUCUCAGUAACGAAGCUAACGCGUGAAGUUGACCGCCUGGGGAGUACGGCCGCAAGGUUAAAACUCAAAUGAAUUGACGGGG
RNAcentral lists this ribosomal RNA (395 nucleotides) under uncultured bacterium. Its description in RNAcentral is "partial 16S ribosomal RNA". It matches the Rfam family "Bacterial small subunit ribosomal RNA", at positions 523 to 918 of the family's 1533-position model. The record is from RNAcentral.